AGUGAACGCUGGCGGUAGGCCUAACACAUGCAAGUCGAACGGCAGCACAGUAAGAGCUUGCUCUUACGGGUGGCGAGUGGCGGACGGGUGAGGAAUACAUCGGAAUCUACUUUUUCGUGGGGGAUAACGUAGGGAAACUUACGCUAAUACCGCAUACGACCUACGGGUGAAAGCAGGGGAUCUUCGGACCUUGCGCGAUUGAAUGAGCCGAUGUCGGAUUAGCUAGUUGGCGGGGUAAAGGCCCACCAAGGCGACGAUCCGUAGCUGACCUGAGCGGAUGAGAGGCAACAAUGGAACUGAGACAAGGUCCAGACUACGAAGGGAGGCAGCAGUAGGGAAGCUUCAGGAAUGGGCGAAAGCCUGAAGGAGCAACGAAGCGUGAGGGAUGAAGGUCUUCGAAUCGUAAAAAUCUGUUAUUAGGGAAGAACAGAGGGGUAAGGAACAGUGCACAUCUGGACGGGACAUAAUCAGAAAGACAAGGCUAACUACGUG
This 492-nucleotide ribosomal RNA is filed under the name uncultured bacterium. RNAcentral's name for it is "partial 16S ribosomal RNA". It matches the Rfam family "Bacterial small subunit ribosomal RNA", at positions 29 to 507 of the family's 1533-position model. The record is from RNAcentral.